Molecule: transfer RNA, 95 nt
Filed under: Trametes versicolor
Lineage: Eukaryota; Fungi; Basidiomycota; Agaricomycetes; Polyporales; Polyporaceae
Also listed under: 1 other name
Description: tRNA-Leu
Rfam family: tRNA
About the family: Transfer RNA (tRNA) molecules are approximately 80 nucleotides in length. Their secondary structure includes four short double-helical elements and three loops (D, anti-codon, and T loops).
Source: RNAcentral
GGUAGUGUAGCCAAGUGGUUACGGCGUCACGUUUAGGCCUUUCAGACUACCACCGUGAUGGGUUUCCCGCGCGAGUUCGAAUCUCGUCACUAUCA